RNAcentral lists this transfer RNA (73 nucleotides) under Pseudomugil gertrudae (spotted blue-eye). RNAcentral describes it as "tRNA-Thr". It matches the Rfam family "tRNA". From Rfam's summary of the family: Transfer RNA (tRNA) molecules are approximately 80 nucleotides in length. Their secondary structure includes four short double-helical elements and three loops (D, anti-codon, and T loops). The record is from RNAcentral. Lineage: Eukaryota; Metazoa; Chordata; Actinopteri; Atheriniformes; Pseudomugilidae.
GCACUAGUAGCUCAGAGAUAAGAGCGCCGGUCUUGUAAACCGGAGGCCGAAGGUUAAAUCCCCUCCUGCUGCA